This 496-nucleotide ribosomal RNA is filed under the name uncultured bacterium. RNAcentral's name for it is "partial 16S ribosomal RNA". It matches the Rfam family "Bacterial small subunit ribosomal RNA", at positions 28 to 507 of the family's 1533-position model. The record is from RNAcentral.
GACGAACGCUGGCGGCGUGCCUAAUACAUGCAAGUAGAACGCUGAAGCGAGGAGCUUACUCUUCUUGGAUGAGUUGCGAACGGGUGAGUAACGCGUAGGUAACCUGCCUUGUAGCGGGGGAUAACUAUUGGAAACGAUAGCUAAUACCGCAUAACAAUGGAUGACACAUGUCAUUUAUUUGAAAGGGGCAAUUGCUCCACUACAAGAUGGACCUGCGUUGUAUUAGCUAGUAGGUGAGGUAAUGGCUCACCUAGGCGACGAUACAUAGCCGACCUGAGAGGGUGAUCGGCCACACUGGGACUGAGACACGGCCCAGACUCCUACGGGAGGCAGCAGUAGGGAAUCUUCGGCAAUGGGGGCAACCCUGACCGAGCAACGCCGCGUGAGUGAAGAAGGUUUUCGGAUCGUAAAGCUCUGUUGUAAGUCAAGAACGGGUGUGAGAGUGGAAAGUUCACACUGUGACGGAGCUUACCAGAAAGGGACGGCUAACUACGUG